RNAcentral lists this small RNA (61 nucleotides) under Paenibacillus sp. P22. Its description in RNAcentral is "Pseudomonas sRNA P4". The record is from RNAcentral. Lineage: Bacteria; Bacillati; Bacillota; Bacilli; Caryophanales; Paenibacillaceae.
GAAACAAGCCGCCUGGAAAUGAAGGGACCUUUAAAGGUCGCUCCGUUCCAGGCGGCUUUUU